Molecule: unclassified non-coding RNA, 316 nt
Filed under: uncultured Hypocreales
Lineage: Eukaryota; Fungi; Ascomycota; Sordariomycetes; Hypocreales
Description: sequence contains ITS1
Rfam family: 5.8S ribosomal RNA (bases 1-105)
Source: RNAcentral
GAAAUGCGAUAAGUAAUGUGAAUUGCAGAAUUCAGUGAAUCAUCGAAUCUUUGAACGCACAUUGCGCCCGCCAGUAUUCUGGCGGGCAUGCCUGUCUGAGCGUCAUUUCAACCCUCAGCCCCCGUCCGCGGGGCGCUGGCGUUGGGGAUCGGCCGUCCUUGCGGCGGCCGGCCCCGAAACACAGUGGCGGUCUCCCGUAGACUCCCCUGCGUAGUAACACUACCUCGCAGAAGGGACGAGCGGGCUGGCCACGCCGUAAAACCCCCCACUUCUCAAGGUUGACCUCAGAUCAGGUAGGAAUACCCGCUGAGUUUAA